RNAcentral lists this unclassified non-coding RNA (213 nucleotides) under Rickettsia conorii subsp. conorii. Lineage: Bacteria; Pseudomonadati; Pseudomonadota; Alphaproteobacteria; Rickettsiales; Rickettsiaceae. The record is from RNAcentral.
CUGUGAGAUUACAUAUGCAUAUAGUGUUAAUGUUAUAAGAGUGUAGUAUCUACUCACAAAGUUAUCAGGUUAAAUAGUUUUAUCAACUAAUAAAAAUGUUAUUGCAUAACUAAUGUUAUAUACUGUAGCCCUGCCACGAUAUCCAGCGAGAAUUAUUUUGCUGAGUAUCGUAGUAAAAGUUAAGAUAUGAUGUUGAGAAUUUUUUUGAGUCGU